This 582-nucleotide long non-coding RNA is filed under the name Elaeis guineensis (African oil palm). RNAcentral describes it as "long non-coding RNA (EGUI_LNC081050)". Lineage: Eukaryota; Viridiplantae; Streptophyta; Magnoliopsida; Arecales; Arecaceae. The record is from RNAcentral.
AGACCACCACGGUCAAGAUAGAAUUGACCCCUCUGAAUUGGUAGGAGAUAUGCAUCAGUGUAUUUCAAUUUAGCAAAAUCUUGGCCAGGAUAAUCUAUGAGAUGGAUUUAAAAGGUUAAAAUAUAAUGUGGUUGACUUAAUUAGGGUUGAUAGUUAAACCCUAAGUCACCUUGAGCAUUUGGAUCAAAGGGAUGAAUUAUAUGGUAACUAUACGCCAGUAGGUUCUAAAAGGUUGCUUUGUAACACUUCGACCCAUCCAGUCGUCGGGUCAUCAUUGCUAGAUGGUUACAUUGAUUGGUAUAAAAAGUUAUUUAUAUAUUAUUGAUUUUGGUUGGAAUCUAUGGGGUAACACGCAUUAGAAGAUUUGGUCAGAUCUGAUGGCCGAAGAGUCCAAUUGGAUUGUGACUCUAGUGAAGAGUCCUACUUGGACUAGGACUCUGUGGGAGAGUCCCACUGAGAUAGGGACUCUACUAUAUAUGAAAAAUUAAUUAGAAAUUAGAUUACUAAUUGACUCAAUUUGAUUGAAUAAAUAACUAUGGAACAAGUCUAAUUGAAUUAGAUUCAGUUCGACUCAGAUUGGGA